This 1444-nucleotide ribosomal RNA is filed under the name uncultured archaeon. RNAcentral describes it as "bacterial SSU rRNA". It matches the Rfam family "Archaeal small subunit ribosomal RNA". The record is from RNAcentral.
AUUCCGGUUGAUCCUGCCGGAGGCCAUUGCUAUCGGAAUCCGAUUUAGCCAUGCUAGUCGCACGGGUCAGACCCGUGGCGAACAGCUCAGUAACACGUGGCCAAACUGCCCUGUGGACAGGGAUAAUCUCGGGAAACUGAGGCUAAUCCCCGAUAGGGCUUCCAUCUUGGAGUGGAGGAAGUCCGAAACGUUGCGCUGCGGCACCACAGGAUGUGGCUGCGGCCGAUUAGGUAGACGGUGGGGUAACGGCCCACCGUGCCAGUAAUCGGUACGGGUGAUGAGAGUCAGAGCCCGGAGACGGUAUCUGAGACAAGAUACCGGGCCCUACGGGGCGCAGCAGGCGCGAAACCUUUACACUGCACGACAGUGCGAUAGGGGGAUUCCGAGUGCGAGGGCAUACAGUCCUCGCUUUUCUGGACCGUAAGGAGGUCCAAGAAUAAGGGCUGGGCAAGACCGGUGCCAGCCGCCGCGGUAAUACCGGCAGCCCGAGUGAUGGCCGAUAUUAUUGGGCCUAAAGCGUUCGUAGCUGGCCGGACAAGUCUGUUGGGAAAUCCACGCGCUCAACGCGUGGGCGUCCAGCGGAAACUGUCUGGCUUGGGGCCGGAGGACUCGAGGGGUACGUCCGGGGUAGGAGUGAAAUCCCGUAAUCCUGGACGGACCACCGGUGGCGAAAGCGCCUCGAGAGGACGGACCCGACAGUGAGGAACGAAAGCCAGGGUCUCGAACCGGAUUAGAUACCCGGGUAGUCCUGGCCGUAAACAAUGUCUGCUAGGUGUGGCACAGGCUACGAGCCUGUGCUGUGCCGCAGGGAAGCCGUGAAGCAGACCGCCUGGGAAGUACGUCCGCAAGGAUGAAACUUAAAGGAAUUGGCGGGGGAGCACUACAACCGGAGGAGCCUGCGGUUUAAUUGGACUCAACGCCGGACAUCUCACCGGCACCGACAACAGUAACGACGGUCAGGUUGAUGACCUUACUCGAGCUGUUGAGAGGAGGUGCAUGGCCGCCGUCAGCUCGUACCGUGAGGCGUCCUGUUAAGUCAGGCAACGAGCGAGACCCGCAUCCUUAGUUGCCAGCAACACCACUGGUGGUUGGGUACACUAAGGAGACUGCCGCUGCCAAAGCGGAGGAAGGAACGGGCAACGGUAGGUCAGUAUGCCCCGAAUGUGCCGGGCAACACGCGGGCUACAAUGGUCGGGACAAUGGGAUGCUACCCCGAGAGGGGGCGCUAAUCCCCAAACCCGGUCGUAGUUCGGAUUGAGGGCUGAAACCCGCCCUCAUGAAGCUGGAUUCGGUAGUAAUCGCGUGUCAGAAGCGCGCGGUGAAUACGUCCCUGCUCCUUGCACACACCGCCCGUCAAAGCACCCGAGUGAGGUCCGGAUGAGGCCCAGUUCCUGGGUCGAAUCUGGGCUUCGCAAGGGGGCUUAAGUCGUAACAAGGUAGCCGU